AUGUGCCACGCGUCCACUGCGGUUCCUGCGCACCGACCUGACGCCCGUUCGCUACGUGGUGGUCGCC
RNAcentral lists this small RNA (67 nucleotides) under Xanthomonas campestris pv. badrii. Its description in RNAcentral is "sX9 sRNA". It matches the Rfam family "Xanthomonas sRNA sX9". The record is from RNAcentral. Lineage: Bacteria; Pseudomonadati; Pseudomonadota; Gammaproteobacteria; Lysobacterales; Lysobacteraceae. RNAcentral also lists the same sequence under 1 other name.